RNAcentral lists this long non-coding RNA (1065 nucleotides) under Fukomys damarensis (Damara mole-rat). RNAcentral describes it as "lncRNA (ENSFDAG00000025340.1)". The record is from RNAcentral. Lineage: Eukaryota; Metazoa; Chordata; Mammalia; Rodentia; Bathyergidae.
AAUGAAUGAUUUUUUUUUUUUUUUUGACUACCAGGGAUCAAAUGCAGGACCUUGCACUUGUGAGGCAGGUACAGGGCCACUGAGCUAAAUCCCCAUCCCUACAGAUUCUUGACUCUGGGCAUCUCACAAGAUGAUUAUUUAGCUUCUACAAUAGAAAAAUUUGGAUUUUUUCUACAGCAUCAUUCAUAUCAAUUGGAAAUGAAGUCCACUAGAGUGAAAUCCUCUGUGCGGAAUCCACAUGGAAACCACACAGAGAAAGUUUCCAGAUCACGGCCGAGUCAGCAGUAUCCUCACAUAGCUGUGAGCACUCUGUUCUGGUCCUCUGCCUCCAAUUUUUGCAUCUCAUCACGGUUCUCAGGUACUAAAUCUGUCUCCUGCGAUUUUAAAAAUGGAAACCACGUAUAUAAUUGAUAGCAUGACAAGAAAUACAGACCUCACAGACAAUUCUGUCAGAGGAAGAGGAACUUCUGCAUUUUAGUCAACAAGCUGUUUAUUAUAGAUGCCGCUGCUUCUUGUUGAAGUUCUGAGAACUGUUUAGAAUGCUGGAAUUUACAGCUAAAAUUAAAUCUGCUUAAAUUAUAAGACACCAAAUAAGACGACAGAGUGAUCAAAGUUCUCUGAACUAUUUAGUAAUGCUAAAAGUUACAUUUAGAAGACGUGUGGGCAUAAUUAAACACAGUAUUAUGAAAACUAGAGAAAAGGGCUAAAGGUGUAGGGAAAGUGGGAAGGGCAGGGGAAAGGUAAUAGGGAAAAACAUAUGAGAAAAUGAAAAAAUGGAAAUAAAGUGUUUGUAAAUGGGGAGGGGAAGAGGAGGUGAAGGGAAGGCAGGGACAAGAGAAAAAAAUGAGAACCAAGACCUGUCAUGUAAAGGUACGAGAUCCCAAUGAUGAAUGUAACUGUAUUGUAUACCUAAAAGGUACCAAUAAACUCAAUAAAAGAAAAAAAAAGAAAAGAAACCUAGCAAGCUUUAAACAUGUGAAACUUUUUAGCUCAAUGAGAGAUAAUAAAAUGGACAUAUGACCAACUCACAGGCUUAUAAAUUUUGUAGGUAUCUCAACUAACAAC